This is a long non-coding RNA of Fundulus heteroclitus (mummichog), 2981 nucleotides long. RefSeq lists it as uncharacterized. The transcript has 3 exons. Lineage: Eukaryota; Metazoa; Chordata; Actinopteri; Cyprinodontiformes; Fundulidae. The record is from RefSeq and is a predicted model, not a curated record.
AUGCUCCACUUGUGAAAGUAAAUCUUUUGGACUCUCUUUGUUAUUAGGGCAGCAUUUAUUAGUGCUACACUGCCAGAUGAGACAUGUAGAACUAGUGGACAACCAAGAUUGUGGGUUACAAUGAGCAUAGACCAAUAUUUUGGCCAUCUUGACUGCAGGUGUGAUGAUGUAACAUUCAGAAUUUGUGACUCAGUCAACAGCAAAGAAGAUACCAGCUUGCUGUGUUACAUUAGCAACCACUUAAAGUCUCAGAUGAACCUUUAAGUACUCUUCAUGAUCUUUUGACUUUUCCCUUUUAGGGAUCACCACAGCUAGUCAUCUGUCUCCAUCUAAUCCUAUGUACCCUUCUGCAUCUUCUUCUCUAACGACCACCUUCAUGUUCUCUUUAACUCCAUACAUAAAUCUUCUCUUUGGUCUUCCUCUAGGCCUACUGCUUGACAGUUCCUCAACAUCCUUCUACCAAUGUACUCACGACCCCUCCUCUGUACAUGUCCAAACCAUCUCAGUCUGGUCUCUCUGGUUUUAUCUACAAAAGAUAUAACAUGAGCUGUUCCUCUGAUGUACUAAUUCCUGAUCCUAUCUAUCCUCAUCACUCCCAAAGAGAACUUUAAAAUCUUCUCCUCUGCUGCUUCCAGCUCUGCCCCUUGUCUCUUCCUCAGUGUCACAGUCUCUAAACCAUAAAACAUCACUGUUCUCACCACCAUCGUGUACAGUGUUCCUUUCAUUUUCGCUGAUAUACUUUUUUGAUCACACCUGACACUUUUCUUCAACUGUUCCAACCUGCUUGGACACGUUUUUCUUUUACACCCUUUUUUUGUUCUGGACUGUUGACCGUAAGUACUUAAAAUCCUCCACGUUCUUAAUCUCUGCUCCCUGUAACCUCAUGACCACUUGAGUCCCUCUUAUUCACCCUCAUGUAUUCUAUUUUACUUUGGCUAACCUUCAUUCCACUCCUUUCCAGACAAGUAGGCAAACUUCUAUCUCUAGAUUUCCCUCCCUUGUCCCUGCUCUCACUGCAGAUCACAAUGUCGCCUGCAAACAUUAUAGUCUAUGGAGAUUCUUGACUAACCUCUGUCAAUCUGUCUAUCACCACAGCAAAAAAAGAAGUGGCUCAGAGUGAAUCCUUGAUGCAGUCCCACUUCCAACUUGAAGUCCUCUUUCACACCUAGAGCACACCUCACCACUGUCCUACAGCCCUCAUACAUGUCCUGCCCCACUCUAACGUACUUAUUUGCUACUCUAGACUUCAUCAUGCAAUACCACAGCUACCCUCUCGGCACUGUGUCAUUUUGCUUUCUCUAGCUCAGGAGUGUCACAAAUGUUGGGCUCAUGGGUCGAAAUUGUCAAGUUAAAAGCACUUGCGAGCCAAAGAAUGAAUAAAAAUAACAUAACGAAACAUUGGUGUGAAUUUUUUGAAUCUGUUCUACAAAAUAUGAUCAUUUUAAUAAACAAAUAUCUGUAUUUAGCCAAGUUUGAUAAAUAAGUUCCAAUCAGAUUUUAAUGCACUAAAGUCUGCAUUUUAGUAUAGGAUGUGAAUAGAGGUGGUUCUAUUCACUAUGAAAUUAAAGGGAAUGUAAAAAGUGUGGAUAUUAAAUGACAAAUGUUUGGUAUUGUAACAUUCAAUUCAACAUUCACUUUUAAUAUUUUAACAUGUCUGUAAUAUUUUUGCUCUAAAAAUAAAAAGUUUCCACCUGCACCAGCCACCAGUACUGGUCGGUCAAAUCUUUCUUGGAAUUCCAAUUUGGACACAACUCUUCUAGGUACUCCCUCCAUCUUCUUUUUCACACCUGUUGCACUUGUCAGUACAUUUCCAUCUCAAUCCUUGAUCACCCUAACUUGUUGAACAUCCUUCCCAUCUCAGUCUCUCUGCCUCUCAAUCUGUAUAAAUCUUUCUCUCCUUCAUUACUGUUCAACCUAUGAUACAAGUCAUUGUAUGCUACUGCUACCUUCACUUUAUACUGCAUCACUCUGUAUUCCUGGUGACUCUCUUCAGUCCUCACCUUGUCUCAUUUGUUCUUAGCUGAACUCUGUCUGAACUUAUUCCUGUACUUUCUCUUUCCACCACCAAGUUGUCUUGUCAACUUUCCUUUCAGAAUAAAUACCAAUUACUCUUCUUCAUGUCUCCCUGACAGAGUUAGCUGUAGUUGUCCAAUUAUUUGGAAGCGCCUCCUGGCAUCCCAGGGCCUAUCUCAAGUCCUCCCUAAAAGCCACACAACUUUCUUACUUUUUCAGCUUCCACCUCUUUGUCAUCUGCUCUAUCUUUGUCCUUUUCAUCCUCCUUACCAUCAGAGUAAUUCUAUUUCCACCAGCACCCUGUUGGUCAACAGCACCAGUGGUGGUUGUUGUUAACCUGGGCCUUGGCCGAUCCAGUGUGAAGAUCAUUUAAUUGACUUGCAUUGGUAAAUUUGGUAAAUGUCUUUGUCAGGACUCAGCAGGUAGCGCAGUGCACCUUUCUGCCGGCCCUGCCGUUUCUCUCUCUUUCCCUCUCUCCACAGGUGAUUGCAGUUGGCUGGUGGGUGUGGCGUGCACCUGCGCCUCAUUCAGCACCGUGGCUUGGAGUACUUAAGCAUGUCUCUCAGGUCGCCUAACAUUCUGGAUCCCACUCCAGGGACUCUCCCUUGUGCUCUGACUUCCACGGCCUGCCUCCUGACUCAGCCAUACUUGAUUCCACACCAGAUACCCUCUCGUGCUCAGACCAACACUGCUCUCUACUUGGAUCUCAUCCCUAGGCUCCCUUGGUAUUACCAAACCGGGAUAAGGACCUUUUCAUACCACCCUGGUUCCUCCAGCUGCUCACUGACCACAAAUCCCACCAUCAGUGCUGCCCGCUGAGUCCGUCUUCCAGCUCCACUCUCCCCGGCUAGGUUUCCCGAACUCGGCGAGUAAUCGGUCCCGGUCCUACGUCUCUGUCAGACGCUUGCCCAUUGUGGUUCCUCUACCUUUCUGUAUCUCCGCUCACUUAAUAAACACCUUAAACUGCU